RNAcentral lists this ribosomal RNA (470 nucleotides) under uncultured bacterium. Its description in RNAcentral is "bacterial SSU rRNA". It matches the Rfam family "Bacterial small subunit ribosomal RNA", at positions 329 to 793 of the family's 1533-position model. The record is from RNAcentral.
CUACGCACUCCUACGGAGGCAGCAGUGGGGAAUAUUGCACAAUGGGCGCAAGCCUGAUGCAGCCAUGCCGCGUGUAUGAAGAAGGCCUUCGGGUUGUAAAGUACUUUCAGCAGUGAGGAAGGUGGGUAUGUUAAUAGCAUAUUCAUUUGACGUUAGCUGCAGAAGAAGCACCGGCUAACUCCGUGCCAGCAGCCGCGGUAAUACGGAGGGUGCGAGCGUUAAUCGGAAUUACUGGGCGUAAAGCGCAUGCAGGUGGUUUGUUAAGUCAGAUGUGAAAGCCCGGGGCUCAACCUCGGAAUUGCAUUUGAAACUGGCAAACUAGAGUACUGUAGAGGGGGUAGAAUUUCAGGUGUAGCGGUGAAAUGCGUAGAGAUCUGAAGGAAUACCGGUGGCGAAGGCGGCCCCCUGGACAGAUACUGACACUCAGAUGCGAAAGCGUGGGGAGCAAACAGGAUUAGAUACCCUGGUAG